GGUUCUCAACCCUGGCUGCACAUUAGGAUCACCUGGGGAGCUUUUAAAAAAACUCUGAUGCCUGGGCUUCACCUCAGACCAAUUCAGUCACGGUCGAUGCGGGUGGAUGUCAGUGUGCUGUGAAACUCCCCAGGUGCUUCUCAUGUGCAGCCAGGGCUGAGCACUCUGCUGCUUUCCCCCCUCUCUGUCAGAAAAUGAGCAUGGGGGAAACAGAGCCGACUUGUGUGGACAGGGUGCACGGACCACUAAUAGAAUUUUGACGUUGUGGCUCCUUAAAUAGCCUCCCAAUUGGUAUGCACAUAUUAGAAGCUCACGCGGAGGCGAAGGCCGAGGUGCAUGCAGCUGCCGCCUGGACGUGCGUCCAGUCCAUGUUGACGUUUGAAGAGUCACAGAGUGUGAAAAUGAACCUGAAGGAGAACUGGUGAAAUCACGUCCAGUGGCGACUCCGAACUCUGACUGACUGAGGGAGCCAAGUCGGACGCUGAGAGCAGCGGCCAGAGGACUGACUUCAGGCUGGAGGUCAACACGAUUGGAAUGUGACUAAACCUCCCCUCUGCAGUCUCGGCUUCUGAAUGUGCGCACACAGCUGAUCUCAGAGGCUCUAGUGUGAUGGUCUCAAGACCCACAGUCAGGACUGCAUUUCACACAUGUUACUUUGCUGGAGAAAAAUAAGAAGAAUCUGGUGAAACAGUAAUUUCUUAGGAUGCUCUAUGAGGAAAACGGGCUUCCCUGUUAAGGUUCACUGUGCAACAGUAAUUUAUUUGUCUGCUGACUCCCUCAACUGCCUGUCUGAUAAUAGAACUGCUUACUGCUAUGUGGAAACGCAAGGCUGGGAUUGUCUUCCAUGUGCCGCGACCUUGUGGGUGCUGCUGUCUUUAAGAGCUUUAUGAACUGGUAUAAUACGUCACAGUUGUUCUAAUUAUUUUCUCAUCUCUACCCUAUUCACUUUCCCUCAUUGGUUCGGUUUUGGGGAGGCAUUAUGUUUAAUUAUCAUUUCCCCGGAGUUGAAAAAAAAACUAUUCACAUUGAGUGUUAAACUCAUACUUGACUUUAAAGUCAGUUAAAAUUUCUGAAUUGUAGGUGUUUCAUACAUGUAGGCUAUCUCGUUUCAUCUGGUCUCAUCGAGUUUUAGUCAUAAGUUAAAGAAUGUUUAGUGGAAUAUUAUAUAUGGGUCUGCUUUAUA
RNAcentral lists this long non-coding RNA (1183 nucleotides) under Equus asinus (donkey). RNAcentral's name for it is "lncRNA (ENSEASG00005036336.1)". Lineage: Eukaryota; Metazoa; Chordata; Mammalia; Perissodactyla; Equidae. The record is from RNAcentral.